Molecule: unclassified non-coding RNA, 256 nt
Filed under: plant metagenome
Description: partial contains small subunit ribosomal RNA, internal transcribed spacer 1, and 5.8S ribosomal RNA
Rfam family: Eukaryotic small subunit ribosomal RNA (bases 1-54)
Source: RNAcentral
GGAAGUAAAAGUCGUAACAAGGUUUCCGUAGGUGAACCAGCGGAGGGAUCAUUACCGCGUUUUCCAACUCCCAAACCCUUCUGUGAACCUAUACCGACCCGUUGCUUCGGCGGGAUCGCCCCGGCGCCCUCAGCGGCGGCCGGUCCCAGGCGCCCGCCGGAGGACCACACCAAACUCUUCAGCUUUUCUUCAGGCGUCUUCUGAGUGACACAAAAAAAAUGAAUCAAAACUUUCAACAACGGAUCUCUUGGUUCUG